This is a transfer RNA of 75 nucleotides. It matches the Rfam family "tRNA". Rfam says of the family: Transfer RNA (tRNA) molecules are approximately 80 nucleotides in length. Their secondary structure includes four short double-helical elements and three loops (D, anti-codon, and T loops).
GGGCAAUUAGCUCAGGGGUAGAGCGCUUCGUUGACAUCGAAGAGGUCGCUGGUUCGAAUCCAGCAUUGCCCACCA